AUGGGCGGCAGGCGUACACAUGCAGUCGAGCGGAUGAAAGGGAGCUUGCUCCUGGAUUCAGCGGCGGACGGGUGAGUAAUGCCUAGGAAUCUGCCUGGUAGUGGGGGAUAACGUCCGGAAACGGGCGCUAAUACCGCAUACGUCCUGAGGGAGAAAGUGGGGGAUCUUCGGACCUCACGCUAUCAGAUGAGCCUAGGUCGGAUUAGCUAGUUGGUGGGGUAAAGGCCUACCAAGGCGACGAUCCGUAACUGGUCUGAGAGGAUGAUCAGUCACACUGGAACUGAGACACGGUCCAGACUCCUACGGGAGGCAGCAGUGGGGAAUAUUGGACAAUGGGCGAAAGCCUGAUCCAGCCAUGCCGCGUGUGUGAAGAAGGUCUUCGGAUUGUAAAGCACUUUAAGUUGGGAGGAAGGGCAGUAAGUUAAUACCUUGCUGUUUUGACGUUACCAACAGAAUAAGCACCGGCUAACUUCGUGCCAGCAGCCGCGGUAAUACGAAGGGUGCAAGCGUUAAUCGGAAUUACUGGGCGUAAAGCGCGCGUAGGUGGUUCAGCAAGUUGGAUGUGAAAUCCCCGGGCUCAACCUGGGAACUGCAUCCAAAACUACUGAGCUAGAGUACGGUAGAGGGUGGUGGAAUUUCCUGUGUAGCGGUGAAAUGCGUAGAUAUAGGAAGGAACACCAGUGGCGAAGGCGACCACCUGGACUGAUACUGACACUGAGGUGCGAAAGCGUGGGGAGCAAACAGGAUUAGAUACCCUGGUAGUCCACGCCGUAAACGAUGUCGACUAGCCGUUGGGAUCCUUGAGAUCUUAGUGGCGCAGCUAACGCGAUAAGUCGACCGCCUGGGGAGUACGGCCGCAAGGUUAAAACUCAAUGAUGCG
Molecule: ribosomal RNA, 880 nt
Filed under: Pseudomonas aeruginosa
Lineage: Bacteria; Pseudomonadati; Pseudomonadota; Gammaproteobacteria; Pseudomonadales; Pseudomonadaceae
Description: bacterial SSU rRNA
Rfam family: Bacterial small subunit ribosomal RNA
Source: RNAcentral